This 77-nucleotide transfer RNA is filed under the name Methanopyri archaeon. Its description in RNAcentral is "tRNA-Gly". It matches the Rfam family "tRNA". Rfam says of the family: Transfer RNA (tRNA) molecules are approximately 80 nucleotides in length. The record is from RNAcentral. Lineage: Archaea; Methanobacteriati; Methanobacteriota; Methanopyri.
GCGGCCGCAGUCUAGCCUGGCUAGGACGCGGGCCUGCCGAGCCCGUGGCCCGGGUUCAAAUCCCGGCGGCCGCACCA